RNAcentral lists this ribosomal RNA (444 nucleotides) under uncultured bacterium. Its description in RNAcentral is "bacterial SSU rRNA". It matches the Rfam family "Bacterial small subunit ribosomal RNA", at positions 355 to 796 of the family's 1533-position model. The record is from RNAcentral.
UAAGGAAUAUUGGGCAAUGGACGCAAGUCUGACCCAGCCAUGCCGCGUGGAGGAUGAAGGUCCUCUGGAUUGUAAACUUCUUUUAUUUGGGAAGAAACCCGAUUUUUCUAAGUCGGUUGACGGUACCAGAUGAAUAAGCACCGGCUAACUCCGUGCCAGCAGCCGCGGUAAUACGGAGGGUGCAAGCGUUAUCCGGAUUCACUGGGUUUAAAGGGUGCGUAGGCGGGCAGGUAAGUCAGUGGUGAAAUCUCCGGGCUUAACCCGGAAACUGCCGUUGAUACUAUCUGUCUUGAAUAUCGUGGAGGUAAGCGGAAUAUGUCAUGUAGCGGUGAAAUGCUUAGAUAUGACAUAGAACACCGAUUGCGAAGGCAGCUUACUACACGAUCAUUGACGCUGAGGCACGAAAGCGUGGGGAGCAAACAGGAUUAGAUACCCCCGUAGUCC